GGCUCCUACAUGCAUGAAGCCUGGGGUGGAUAGUCGACCGCCUUGAUCCAGGGCGAGGCUACUGAAACUAAUAGACUGGGAUCCUGCACGUUACUCACAGAAUAAGCACCGGCUAACUCUGUGCCAGCAGCCGCGGUAAUACAGAGGGUGCGAGCGUUAAUCGGAUUUACUGGGCGUAAAGCGUGCGUAGGCGGCUUUUUAAGUCGGAUGUGAAAUCCCCGACCUUAACUUGGGAAUUGCAUUCAAUACUGGGAAGCUACAGUAUGGGAGAGGAUGGUAGAAUUCCAGGUGUAGAGGUGAAAUGCGUAAAGAUCUGGAGGAAUACCGAUGGCAAAGGCAGCCAUCUGGCCUAAUACUGACGCUGAGGUACGAAAGCAUGGGGAGCAAACAGGAUUACAUACCCUGGUAGUCCAUGCCGUAAACGAUGUCUACUAGCCGUGGGGCCUCUGAGGCUUUAGUGGCGCAGCUAACGCGAUAAGUAAACCGCCUGGGGAGUACGGUCGCGAGACUAAAACUCAAA
RNAcentral lists this ribosomal RNA (520 nucleotides) under uncultured prokaryote. RNAcentral's name for it is "bacterial SSU rRNA". It matches the Rfam family "Bacterial small subunit ribosomal RNA", at positions 381 to 905 of the family's 1533-position model. The record is from RNAcentral.